UUUAUGGAGAGUUUGAUCCUGGCUCAGGAUGAACGCUGGCGGCGUGCCUAAUACAUGCAAGUCGAGCGAACGGACGAGAAGCUUGCUUCUCUGAUGUUAGCGGCGGACGGGUGAGUAACACGUGGAUAACCUACCUAUAAGACUGGGAUAACUUCGGGAAACCGGAGCUAAUACCGGAUAAUAUUUUGAACCGCAUGGUUCAAAAGUGAAAGACGGUCUUGCUGUCACUUAUAGAUGGAUCCGCGCUGCAUUAGCUAGUUGGUAAGGUAACGGCUUACCAAGGCAACGAUGCAUAGCCGACCUGAGAGGGUGAUCGGCCACACUGGAACUGAGACACGGUCCAGACUCCUACGGGAGGCAGCAGUAGGGAAUCUUCCGCAAUGGGCGAAAGCCUGACGGAGCAACGCCGCGUGAGUGAUGAAGGUCUUCGGAUCGUAAAACUCUGUUAUUAGGGAAGAACAUAUGUGUAAGUAACUGUGCACAUCUUGACGGUACCUAAUCAGAAAGCCACGGCUAACUACGUGCCAGCAGCCGCGGUAAUACGUAGGUGGCAAGCGUUAUCCGGAAUUAUUGGGCGUAAAGCGCGCGUAGGCGGUUUUUUAAGUCUGAUGUGAAAGCCCACGGCUCAACCGUGGAGGGUCAUUGGAAACUGGAAAACUUGAGUGCAGAAGAGGAAAGUGGAAUUCCAUGUGUAGCGGUGAAAUGCGCAGAGAUAUGGAGGAACACCAGUGGCGAAGGCGACUUUCUGGUCUGUAACUGACGCUGAUGUGCGAAAGCGUGGGGAUCAAACAGGAUUAGAUACCCUGGUAGUCCACGCCGUAAACGAUGAGUGCUAAGUGUUAGGGGGUUUCCGCCCCUUAGUGCUGCAGCUAACGCAUUAAGCACUCCGCCUGGGGAGUACGACCGCAAGGUUGAAACUCAAAGGAAUUGACGGGGACCCGCACAAGCGGUGGAGCAUGUGGUUUAAUUCGAAGCAACGCGAAGAACCUUACCAAAUCUUGACA
This 1004-nucleotide ribosomal RNA is filed under the name Escherichia coli. Its description in RNAcentral is "bacterial SSU rRNA". It matches the Rfam family "Bacterial small subunit ribosomal RNA", at positions 1 to 986 of the family's 1533-position model. Lineage: Bacteria; Pseudomonadati; Pseudomonadota; Gammaproteobacteria; Enterobacterales; Enterobacteriaceae. The record is from RNAcentral.